CCUACGGGUGGCAGCAGUGGGGAAUAUUGGACAAUGGGGGGAACCCUGAUCCAGCGACGCCGCGUGAGUGAAGAAGUAUUUCGGUAUGUAAAGCUCUAUCAGCAGGGAAGAAAGAAAUGACGGUACCUGACUAAGAAGCCCCGGCUAACUACGUGCCAGCAGCCGCGGUAAUCCGUAGGGGGCAAGCGUUAUCCGGAUUUACUGGGUGUAAAGGGAGCGUAGACGGCGAUGCAAGUCUGAAGUGAAUGUCUGGGGCCCAACCCCUGGACUGCUGUGGAAACUGGAUGGCUGGAGUGCAGGGGAGGUAAGUGGAAUUCCUAGUGUAGCGGUGAAAUGCGUAGAUAUGAGGAGGAACACCAGUGGCGAAGGCGGCUUACUGGACUGUAACUGACGUUGAGGCUCGAAAGCGUGGGGAGCAAACAGGAUUAGAUACCCCUGUAGUC
Molecule: ribosomal RNA, 443 nt
Filed under: uncultured bacterium
Lineage: Bacteria
Description: partial 16S ribosomal RNA
Rfam family: Bacterial small subunit ribosomal RNA
Source: RNAcentral